UAUUUUUAUGCUGAACAAUUUUAGAGCAACUAGGAAGAGGAAAAUAAAUAAUUUGAGAUUGUGGAUGGAUUUUGGAGUCAUGCAUGCACGUGCACUCCUUUACAGUGUAUUCUGGUUCUUGUCAGUCCCAAGCAGUAACUUCUACCCUUUCACCUGACUUGCAAUGCUGAAGUUUCUGCAAGCCUCAAAUCUCAUUUUUAUUUCACUUUGGGGAAAAUGGAGGCAGAGAUGUUUAAAAAAAAAAAAAAAAAAAAAGAGAAAAGAAGAAAAAAAGGAAGAAAGAAACCCUCAAAACUGCAGCCCCCCAAGCCCCCACUUCUAUACCACCCGUCCAAACAUGGAACAUAUUUUAGCAGAAGUGCCCCAGCUCUAUCAUAUGUGCUGUGCAGAGUCAUCAUGGCCAUGGUGCAUAGCUGAGAGCCGGAAAGCAAACAGCUGCUGUAGCCUGAUUUGAGUUAAAAUAGUGUCAGUGUUUAGUCUGGCGCAGUGCUUCAGGAGAGAUUGGCAGCUGGGUCAAACAAAGUCAUUCCAUUGGCUCCCUUCCCAGUAAGCUUCUGCUAGUAUUUAGGUACUAGUGCAGCCUAGGCCCCUUUUCUCAGGGAUAGCCUAACAUCUGACCGCACCCUCUUUGCUUUUUAAAAAAUGCCGUUUCACUCUUUAAGAUAAAUCCUCUAUUAUACAAUCUGCCACUAAUUGUGUAUUAAGACUGUUUUUCUCUCGAAAGCUGACGCAUCCUGCUCUCAACAUGGUGUAGAAAGCAGGCUGUUACAGUGCUGGAUUAAUAAAAGGGGCCUUUAUGGUUUGUGAAAGAAUAUCUGUGCUUAGGCAGGAAACUUUUUGAUCCACAGAAAAGCCAGACGACAUCUAGAACAAGAGAAGCCAACUUUAGGAGCAUGCAUAUUGUGAUAUCCUCAGCGAUUUCUUUUACAAUGCACUCUGCUCAGGCCAGUGAAUUUUGUUUAACUGACUGGUGAAAGAAAAAAAUUUAAAUGAAAAAGGAAACUGAAGAAGUUAAUUAUACCAGAAUUCAACGAAGCUGAACGGCUUCCAGAAGAGCACUGAGUUUUCUAUGCCAGAUUCUGCUCCAGUGGCUAGGACCUUUAUGGCUGCUGUUUCUUUUGCUCUGGGCUCUGAUGGAGGAAAAAAAAAAAAAAGCCACGGUGGAUCCUGUCCCUAAAGUAGAAAUUUUCUUUUUCGUUCUGCAAACAAGGCUAAAGAUCGGAGGAGAAUGAAUGCGAAAGUAAUUCGGGAUUGUGGUCGUGCCAUUAAAAGUGUUCGGCUUCAGAAUGAAAUUAUUCGGGAAACCCGAGCAUUUCUUCUUACUGUAUCGACAGUAUUUGAAAGUUAUGUGUGCUUUGAGUAAUCUGGUUCAAGUGACAACAGUCUCUGCAUGUCAAUGUUUUCUACAGCUUAUGGAGCGAAAGCUAGUUUUGCCAUUGGAAAGGAAGAAGCUUUUGCUAGCAGUCUGUAGAAGGAUUAAAUGUUGAACGUGGGGAAGAGGCAAAAAGUGAAUACACACCCAAAGGUUAUCCUUGCAACGUGAAUGGCUUUAAAGUACUCUGUAACCCAGGGCCCACCUGAACAGUAGGACUAAAAGUAUAAUGGGGGAAUAUUUCAAUUAGAAACCCCUUAACAAGCAUUUAAUCCUUCUUUCAGGCAGUAAGGGAAAUAGAAUAAAAUUGUUACUGUACAAAUCUGCUGGAAGCAGAUUUUAACCCAUUUUUAGACGCUUCCCUCUGAUGCAUUAUAAUAUGGCUACUUGCAAGAUGAGGCAGUGAAGAUUUUUUUUCCUGUGUUCUUUGAUUUUUCUUUUCAAAAGUUAAGGACGAUACUCUAAGAAAAGUCUGUUCAGUCAGCUGAUAGAUUGUUUGAAUGUAUGUAUGCCUCUUGCCUGCUUAUUUGAUCUUUUCUGCCCCCUACUUGAAACUGUGGUUUGUUUAUUUGGGGGGAAGGAGGGGUUGUUGAUUUGGAGGGGGAUGUUGGUUUGGGGGUUUGUUUUAGUUUGGGGGGGGGUUUUAACGAUAGCAGUGAAAGUUUUACUGACAGCGAUUAUGACUACUAAGCAAUUCAGUUUAUUGGAAGACGAAUUCUACUGGAUCAUAUCGGACUUUUCCUAGUCCCUGAGACCCUAACUUGUGAGGUUUUUUAGCAACAAUCACAAGUCAGGCUCUUGGGACCUAGGCGGAGGGGAACCAGCAGCUUUGGACUGUGAUUGUUUCUCUGCAGAAUUUAGAGAACCAAAGGAGCUUUCCUUGUCUGGAAGGGAAAAAGGAAAAUAUACCUAAUUCAAAUGUUAAGCAGCAGAACUGUUCCUAAAACAAAAAAAACCCUAUUAUCCACUGUGCAACAUUAGCAUGUUACAUAUUUGUAUGUUUAGAAAACUGGACUAGAUGCCAUGUAACAUUUAGAAUUAAAAUUUAACCUGAAUGCCAGUUUACACCUCAAAAAACCAAACAAAAACCAAAACAAAACAAAACCAAGCCCCAACUCAAAACAGAUACUAAAAUAUACAAAAGGCUUUCAACCAUAUUAUUAUUAUUAUUAUUAUUAUUAUUAUUAUAGACAAUUUUGAUAGGUAUUUACCACAAAGUAUAUUUUCAGCUGUAUUCUUACAGCAUUAAUUAACUUUUAAAACAUAAAGCAUAAACGCUGAUGUUUGAGGCCUAGAAAACAUUCAUUCUAUUAUUGUUUGAAUAAUGAUUUCAGUCUACAGGAAAACUGUUGCUUAGCUUUUCCUGUAACGUGGGACAAAGAUUAUUUUGCAGCUAGUUGCCAUCAUUUUUCUUUGUCUAGGUGAGAACACAAUAUGGGAUUUAAAAUAUUCUCUCAUUUAAUUUACAUUUUAAUCUGAUAGAGAAUAUUGGUGGGAAAAAUCAUACUACAGCAUUAAAACCACUUUGCACACAGAAUCACAUUUCUUGUACCUGUUCAAUUUAAACUGAGCCAGCAAUACUCUAAGCACCAGACUCGACUUCUAGCUUCUCCAUCACUUUUUGCAUUUUUUCCCCCUCUGACAAAAAACAGAGUGAGAUUUAGGUUGUCCCUCAUGUAUUAAGUACUUCACUGACUUUGCAUAAGAGGAUUCACAAGCAUGCAAGUUAUUCUGCACUGUUCAUCAGCCUUGAACUUCUGAUCUAUAACACAUAAUUUGAUUUGUAUUUCUUAAAAUUUUAUAGGUGGGUUAGUUCUGAGCCAUUUUUCUCUGUUUCCUGGGUCUAACCCAAGAUGCUGCAGGACCUUGUUGAUACAUCAGACUUCACUGAGACAAAGGCUUCACACAGAUCAGGCAUCUAAACUAUUUGUUCAUUUCAAAAGUGGUAUUUUGGCUGUAGUAUAUUUUUUCCACUUGUAUGGGAGGAAUUGUGUUUUAUUGUAAGCAUCAACACUAUUGUUAAAAUAAAUUGUUCUUAUCUGUUAGUAUAA
Long non-coding RNA from Aquila chrysaetos chrysaetos, 3423 nucleotides. RefSeq lists it as uncharacterized. The transcript is spliced from 5 exons. The record is from RefSeq and is a predicted model, not a curated record. Lineage: Eukaryota; Metazoa; Chordata; Aves; Accipitriformes; Accipitridae.